GCAGAGUUUGAUCUUGGCUCAGAUUGAACGCUGGCGGCAGGCGUAACACAUGCAAGUCGAACGGUAACAGGAAGCAGCUUGCUGCUUUGCUGACGAGUGGCGGACGGGUGAGUAAUGUCUGGGAAACUGCCUGAUGGAGGGGGAUAACUACUGGAAACGGUAGCUAAUACCGCAUAACGUCGCAAGACCAAAGAGGGGGACCUUCGGGCCUCUUGCCAUCGGAUGUGCCCAGAUGGGAUUAGCUUGUUGGUGGGGUAACGGCUCACCAAGGCGACGAUCCCUAGCUGGUCUGAGAGGAUGACCAGCCACACUGGAACUGAGACACGGUCCAGACUCCUACGGGAGGCAGCAGUGGGGAAUAUUGCACAAUGGGCGCAAGCCUGAUGCAGCCAUGCCGCGUGUAUGAAGAAGGCCUUCGGGUUGUAAAGUACUUUCAGCGGGGAGGAAGGGAGUAAAGUUAAUACCUUUGCUCAUUGACGUUACCCGCAGAAGAAGCACCGGCUAACUCCGUGCCAGCAGCCGCGGUAAUACGGAGGGUGCAAGCGUUAAUYGGAAUUACUGGGCGUAAAGCGCACGCAGGCGGUUUGUUAAGUCAGAUGUGAAAUCCCCGGGCUCAACCUGGGAACUGCAUYUGAUACUGGCAAGCUUGAGUCUUGUAGAGGGGGGUAGAAUUCCAGGUGUAGCGGUGAAAUGCGUAGAGAUUUGGAGGAAUACCGGUGGCGAAGGCGGCCCCCUGGACGAAGACUGACGCUCAGGUGCGAAAGCGUGGGGAGCAAACAGGAUUAGAUACCCUGGUAGUCCACGCCGUAAACGAUGUCGACUUGGAGGUUGUGCCCUUGAGGCGUGGCUUCCGGAGCUAACGCGUUAAGUCGACCGCCUGGGGAGUACGGCCGCAAGGUUAAAACUCAAAUGAAUUGACGGGGGCCCGCACAAGCGGUGGAGCAUGUGGUUUAAUUCGAUGCAACGCGAAGAACCUUACCUGGUCUUGACAUCCACGGAASUUUYCAGAGAUGGRAWUGUGCCUUCGGGAACYGUGAGACAGGUGCUGCAUGGCUGUCGUCAGCUCGUGUUGUGAAAUGUUGGGUUAAGUCCCGCAACGAGCGCAACCCUUAUCCUUUGUUGCCAGCGGUCCGGCCGGGAACUCAAAGGAGACUGCCAGUGAUAAACUGGAGGAAGGUGG
This 1180-nucleotide ribosomal RNA is filed under the name Escherichia coli. Its description in RNAcentral is "bacterial SSU rRNA". The record is from RNAcentral. Lineage: Bacteria; Pseudomonadati; Pseudomonadota; Gammaproteobacteria; Enterobacterales; Enterobacteriaceae.